RNAcentral lists this ribosomal RNA (487 nucleotides) under uncultured bacterium. RNAcentral describes it as "partial 16S ribosomal RNA". It matches the Rfam family "Bacterial small subunit ribosomal RNA", at positions 28 to 507 of the family's 1533-position model. The record is from RNAcentral.
GAUGAACGCUAGCGAUAGGCUUAACACAUGCAAGUCGAGGGGCAGCACAAGGUAGCUUGCUAUCUGGGUGGCGACCGGCGCACGGGUGCGUAACGCGUAUGCAACUUGCCCUAUACAGGAGGAUAACCCGUCGAAAGACGGACUAAUACUGCGUAUGCUCACAACUUGGCAUCAAGUGGUGAGGAAAGAAAUUCGGUAUAGGAUAGGCAUGCGUCCCAUUAGCUUGUUGGUGAGGUAACGGCUCACCAAGGCAACGAUGGGUAGGGGAACUGAGAGGUUUAUCCCCCAGACUGGGACUGAGACACGGACCAGACUCCUACGGGAGGCAGCAGUAAGGAAUAUUGGUCAAUGGGCGCGAGCCUGAACCAGCCAAGUCGCGUGAAGGAUGACUGUCUUAUGGAUUGUAAACUUCUUUUAGACGGGAAUAACAAGAGUCACGUGUGACUCCCUGCAUGUACCGGAUGAAUAAGCAUCGGCUAACUCCGUG